AGUUUGAUCCUGGCUCAGGACGAACGCUGGCGGCGUGCUUAACACAUGCAAGUCGAACGAUGAACCAGGAGCUUGCUCUUGGGGAUUAGUGGCGAACGGGUGAGUAACACGUGAGCAAUCUGCCCUUCACUCUGGGAUAACCUCCGGAAACGGAAGCUAAUACCGGAUAUGACGCACGGAGGCAUCUCCUGUGCGUGGAAAGAACUUCGGUGGAGGAUGAGCUCGCGGCCUAUCAGGUAGUUGGUGAGGUAACGGCCCACCAAGCCUACGACGGGUAGCCGGCCUGAGAGGGUGACCGGCCACACUGGGACUGAGACACGGCCCAGACUCCUACGGGAGGCAGCAGUGGGGAAUAUUGCACAAUGGGCGCAAGCCUGAUGCAGCAACGCCGCGUGAGGGACGACGGCCUUCGGGUUGUAAACCUCUUUUAGUAGGGAAGAAGCGAAAG
RNAcentral lists this ribosomal RNA (448 nucleotides) under Leifsonia sp. R-45745. RNAcentral's name for it is "bacterial SSU rRNA". It matches the Rfam family "Bacterial small subunit ribosomal RNA", at positions 10 to 456 of the family's 1533-position model. The record is from RNAcentral. Lineage: Bacteria; Bacillati; Actinomycetota; Actinomycetes; Micrococcales; Microbacteriaceae.